Molecule: unclassified non-coding RNA, 254 nt
Filed under: uncultured Acidimicrobiia bacterium
Lineage: Bacteria; Bacillati; Actinomycetota; Acidimicrobiia
Description: contains 16S-23S intergenic spacer region
Rfam family: Bacterial small subunit ribosomal RNA
Source: RNAcentral
CACGUAGGGGGCGAGCGUUGUCCGGAAUUACUGGGCGUAAAGGGCGCGUAGGUGGUUCAGCAAGUCAAAUGUGAAAGUCCGGGGCUCAACCCCGGGAAGCCAGCCAAAACUGCGGUGACUAGGGUCCGGUAGAGGUGAGUGGAAUUCUCGGUGUAGCGGUGAAAUGCGCAGAUAUCGAGAGGAACACCAGUAGCGAAGGCGGCUCACUGGGCCGGUACCGACACUGAGGAGCGAAAGCGUGGGGAGCAAACAGG